RNAcentral lists this long non-coding RNA (1349 nucleotides) under Coturnix japonica (Japanese quail). RNAcentral describes it as "lncRNA (ENSCJPG00005015542.1)". Lineage: Eukaryota; Metazoa; Chordata; Aves; Galliformes; Phasianidae. The record is from RNAcentral.
GAGAGUUUUUAGAAAGGAAAGCCUUUCCCACUUGUUUUCUUUAAAGCAACUCAAGUAAGGAUGUCAGAAGCUUCUAUAAAAAAGUCAGAAAAUAAAGAGAGUAUGUUUAGUCUACAUGGCAUAUUCUUAAAAUUCCUAUUUAGACAUUUGUAUGGCAACUGUUAAGUCACAGCCGGAACCAGUGAUUGAGUAUCAGGUGAAGGGACACGGCCAGCCCUGGGAGCACAGGUGGAAACAAAUCACAUGUGUGAUUGGAAAGGAUGAAGCCUGACUCCACCCCUUCCUAUCCUUAUUUAAGGGUUGGCUGCCAUAUAAGAAUUUCUUCUUGGAGGUCCUCUUCUUUAGUGUACUUGGAGAGCUGCAGUCCAUGGAAAAGAGCAAGUAAUUAUUUAUUUACUGGUUUGUGAAAUUUGUUUUUCUUUGGGUAAUUUAAUAUUGGUUUAAAAGAACUAUAUCUGUUAUUGACAUUCUCUACUGAGUUGUAUUAAAGUGAAGUUGAAGGAAAACUUUAGAAAAUGAAAAGAAUCAUAGAAUUACCCAGGUUGGAAAAGACCUUGAAGAUCAUCAAGUCCAACUGCAACCUAACCAGAACCCUAACUCUAAAAACCCUACACUAAAUCAUAUCCCUGAGUACCACAUCCAAACAGCUCUUAAACACAACCAAGGAUGGCAAUUCAACCACCUCCCUGGGGAGCCUAUUCCAGUACCUGAAAGAAAUAGUGACCAAUCCAUUUUUUUUUAAAAUACAAGUUCUUUUUUACUUAGCUACUGCAUUCUGGGAGGAAAAAAAUGCCAAAGUAAUGCCAAACUAGUAUAUGAGUUAGUGUUCUAUAUUUGGAAGGUUGAAAUGUUCCUUAAAUUUCUUCCAGCUUGGGCUGGGUUAUUAUCUUUAAUUAACUUCUUGUCCUGCAGAUUUCCAUAUAUUGGCUGUACUAAAGUAAACACUGAAACCUUUUGGGAGGGAUGGGUGGAUAUUCUGCAGAAAUGUAGUGUUGUGGAUGUGCUGCAGUGCAUACAAGAAGGGUAGGAAGAUGAUGAGCAGAGGAAAAUAUGAGAACACAAGGAAUACAUUAGCCUCAUUUUCUUGAGUUCUGUUUGUUCCCUGCCAGAUAUGAGAAGUUGGCUUUGAAAGAUUCCCUUUACAUUCCUCUGCUAUCUUGUUGGUAUGUCUUUGCUAUAUUAUUCAGCAUGCACGUAGUACUUCUGAGUUUGAUCUAUCAUUAGUGAUGCUGAAGACUCAUUUGAUUUUCUGAGCACUAUUUGUCUUUUCAAGUGAGCACUAAUGCAUUGUGUUGACUGAUAGCAAUGACUGUGACAAAACAUUUUUGUGAUAUCCUAGUAGAGAAAGU